CAGUCGCCACGGUAAUACAGAGGGUGCGAGCGUUAAUCGGAUUUACUGGGCGUAAAGCGUGCGUAGGCGGCUUCUUAAGUCGGAUGUGAAAUCCCUGAGCUUAACUUAGGAAUUGCAUUCGAUACUGGGAAGCUAGAGUAUGGGAGAGGAUGGUAGAAUUCCAGGUGUAGCGGUGAAAUGCGUAGAGAUCUGGAGGAAUACCGAUGGCGAAGGCAGCCAUCUGGCCUAAUACUGACGCUGAGGUACGAAAGCAUGGGGAGCAAACAGGAUUAGAUACCCGAGUAGUCCAUGUCUCUUAUAC
This 301-nucleotide ribosomal RNA is filed under the name uncultured bacterium. Its description in RNAcentral is "partial 16S ribosomal RNA". It matches the Rfam family "Bacterial small subunit ribosomal RNA", at positions 509 to 807 of the family's 1533-position model. The record is from RNAcentral.